Molecule: ribosomal RNA, 1283 nt
Filed under: Clostridioides difficile
Lineage: Bacteria; Bacillati; Bacillota; Clostridia; Peptostreptococcales; Peptostreptococcaceae
Description: partial 23S ribosomal RNA
Rfam family: Bacterial large subunit ribosomal RNA
Source: RNAcentral
UAGGUGAUGGACAACAGGUUGAUAUUCCUGUACUACCGAUAACCAUUUGAGAGAAGGGAUGACACAGUAGGAUAAGCUAAGCACACUGUUGGUUAUGUGUGCCCAAGCAUUGAGGCAGUCAAAGCAGGCAAAUCCGCUUUGAUAAUGCUGGGAUGUGAUGGGGAGCGAAAUUUAGUAGCGAAGUAGCUGAUUUCACACUGUCAAGAAAAGUCUCUAUCGAGGUUAAAGGUACCCGUACCGCAAACCGACACAGGUGGGUGAGGAGAGUAUCCUAAGGCCAGCGAGAGAACUGUUGUUAAGGAACUCGGCAAAAUGACCCCGUAACUUAGGGAUAAGGGGUGCCACCAUCCGGUGGCCGCAGAGAAUAGGCCCAAGCGACUGUUUACCAAAAACAUAGGUUUCUGCUAAGUCGCAAGACGAUGUAUAGGAGCUGACGCCUGCCCGGUGCUGGAAGGUUAAGGGGAUCUGUUAGAGCAAUCGAAGCAGUGAACUUAAGCCCCAGUAAACGGCGGCCGUAACUAUAACGGUCCUAAGGUAGCGAAAUUCCUUGUCGGGUAAGUUCCGACCCGCACGAAAGGCGUAACGAUUUGGGCACUGUCUCAACAACAGACUCGGUGAAAUUGUAAUUCCGGUGAAGAUGCCGGAUACCUGCGACAGGACGGAAAGACCCCAUGGAGCUUUACUGUAGCUUGACAUUGGGUCUUGGUACUACAUGUACAGGAUAGGUGGGAGGCUUUGAAACCAGGACGCCAGUUUUGGCGGAGCCAUCCUUGGGAUACCACCCUUGUAGUACUGGGACUCUAACCAUAGGCCAUGAAUCUGGUCUUGGGACACUGUCAGGUGGGCAGUUUGACUGGGGCGGUCGCCUCCCAAAAGGUAACGGAGGCGCUCAAAGGUUCUCUCAGUACGGUCGGAAAUCGUACGUAGAGUGUAAAGGCAAAAGAGAGCUUGAUUGCAAGACAUACAGGUCGAGCAAGGAUGAAAAUCGGACUUAGUGAUCCGGUGGUUCUGCGUGGAAGGGCCAUCGCUCAACGGAUAAAAGCUACCCUGGGGAUAACAGGCUUAUCUCCCCCAAGAGUCCACAUCGACGGGGAGGUUUGGCACCUCGAUGUCGGCUCAUCACAUCCUGGGGCUGUAGUAGGUCCCAAGGGUUGGGCUGUUCGCCCAUUAAAGUGGUACGCGAGCUGGGUUCAGAACGUCGUGAGACAGUUCGGUCCCUAUCCGUCGCAGGCGUAGGAAAUUUGAGAAGACCUGUCCUUAGUACGAGAGGACCGGGAUGGACG